Molecule: RNA transcript, 5303 nt
Organism: Ailuropoda melanoleuca (giant panda)
Lineage: Eukaryota; Metazoa; Chordata; Mammalia; Carnivora; Ursidae
Gene: PPP1R3E
Gene name: protein phosphatase 1 regulatory subunit 3E
Exons: 3
Source: RefSeq, a predicted model, not a curated record
AGAAAAUGGUGAGCCGAAGAGAAAGUCACACGCUGGGCAUUUUGAACCAUCCUCUACAAGUAAAGGAACGGUUACCCGGCCCUCGCUUAAGCAUUAACUCUUGCCCUGCCAGAAAGGUUGAAGCCGUUAAAAAAAAAAAAAAAAGCCUGAGUGGUCUCACUCAGGACCGGAAGGUGGAUUCCCGCCCCCUGGUACGCGGCGAAGACAGAUGGGGAGCCACCUGUCAGAGGACUGUGGGCGGGGGCCGGGGCGAGAGGGCCGCGGGACCGGAGUAAGCGGCGCUGAGCGCACGCUCAGAGCAGACGGCUUGCAGGAGGCAGGAGAAGAUGGUCUAAAACCCUGAGAGCUGAUGGUCAGAGCGGGGGAGAAAUGUAGUCUCAGAGAGCUCCUGCUGGAGGAUCCUGGAGGUGACAGCAAGGAGAGUACGCAACGGUGAGGGGCGGCUUCUGCGCCGACGCCGGGCAGUCGGGCGAGAGGAAAGCAGGGCAACGCGGCGGCGCUGCGGGCGGGCUCCGCCCGGGCGGGUGUGCCAUGUCUCGAGAGCGCCCCCCCCGCACCGACAUCCCCCGCAACCUGAGCUUCAUAGCCGCACUAACGGAGCGUGCCUACUACCGCAGCCAGCGGCCCAGCCUCGAGGAGGAGCCGGAGGUGGAGUCAGCCGAGGGCGGGACGCGCCUUGGGGCGCGAUCCCGCGCUCACGCUCCGAAUCGGGGUCGCCGGGCCCUUUCUGCGCCCGCCGGAGGCGGCGGGGUCCGGGCGCCCCGCAGCCGCAGUCCCGACACCCGCAAGAGAGUGCGUUUCGCCGACGCACUCGGGCUGGAGCUGGCCGCGGUGCGCCGCUUCCGCCCCGGAGAGCUGCCCCGGGUGCCGCGCCACGUGCAAGUCCAGCUGCAGAGGGACGCCCUCCGCCACUUCGCGCCGUGCCAGCCUCGCGCCCGCGGCCUCCAGGAGGCGCGCGCGGCCCUGGAGCCGGCCAGCGAGCCCGGCUUCGCCGCUCGCUUGCAGGCGCAGCGCAUCUGCCUGGAACGCGCCGAGGCGGGCCCGCUGGGCGUGGCCGGGAGCGCGCGCGUGCUGGACCUGGCCUACGAGAAGCGCGUGAGCGUGCGCUGGAGCGCCGACGGCUGGCGGAGCCAACGCGAGGCACCCGCUUCCUACGCCGGCCCGGCCCCGCCCCCGCCGCGCGCGGACCGCUUCGCCUUCCGCCUUCCGGCGCCUCCCAUUGGGGGCGCCCUGCUUUUCGCCUUGCGCUACCGCGUGACUGGCCGCGAGUUCUGGGACAACAACGGCGGUCGUGACUAUGCUCUACGUGGGCCCGAGCACCCCGGGAGUGGCGGAGCCCCGGAGCCCCAGGGCUGGAUCCACUUUAUCUGAGACGCCUGGGCCGACGGCGGGGAAACCAAAGGCACCCAGGGGCUGGGGGAGCCCGAAGAUUUGGCGGGGAGGAACGAGAGAAACCGAGAUUGGCUGGGAGCUGUCCAAGAGAGUCAAGUGGGGGAGGGCGAGGAGGAUGGGAAAAAUCAAAGGGGUGUGGGGAGUGGGCGGAAUCAACGAAGAUUGGAGAGAUAGGGGUGGAAAAACAUUAGUUGGAUGUGAGUGAUAGGAGCCCAAAGCAUAGAAGAAAGGAAACCAGAAAGGGCGCUGGAAGGAUUAGAAAAAAAGCAAAACCCUGGGGUUUAAUGGUGAUGUCCUAUACCGUGAGCUAGUACUGGGAGAAAGUAAGUGGGUUCGUCAGACCUAGGCCUUUGAAGAUUAGGGUACCUCUUUGAGAUUGAGGAGGUAUUUUGUUUAAAGUAGGAGCCCACCCUACUGAUGUCAUUUGGAUUGCCAGCUCAUUCGCUCUUACCGCCGUUGCCACCUCAGGUCCCCCAAGUCCUGCCCAUCCUAGCUUUAUACUCAGCCAUAAUUGCCUUGCUUAAGUCCCAGGAACUUGGCCAUUGCUCCACAGUCCCUGACAUUAUGACAGGAUUCCCUUGUCAUUCCCGACUAUCUAUCCUGGACUUCAUUUUCCCCUGACUGGCUGGGGAGUGAUGGCAGACUACAAUCAGAGCUCCUUCCUCCUCCUCCAGGCAGCCCUGGGGAUUAAAAUGAAGGCAAAACCAACUCCAGGCCUGUCCUUGUAGCCAAAUAGUGCCGUGCCUGAGGAGUUGGUACACUCAGGGGCUUCCAGAAAAAUGCCAGCCUUACCUUUCUGGGGUGCCUUUUAAUGACCUCUAAGCACUUUAUGCACUGUGUUUGUCAAGGAACAGUGAAUCACAAGAAUCACCAUAAUGAUUCUGCCUCAGAAGGAAGGAGUCACUGACUAGCUGUAUUACUUUGGACAAAGUUACUUUACCUCUCUGGGCCCAGUCUUCUUGGGAAAUUAGAUUUUGACUAGGUGAUGGGUCAUAGUCUCUUCUUGCUUUGACAUUUUAUGAUCUAUGAGUGACAGCGUGAAAGAAGCCACAUUUUCCCACCUACAGUUGGAGUGCUACAGUUCAGAACACAACACUCCCAGCAUGUGGCUGGGGCUGAGGAUGGGUCCUCCAGUUUUUGACACAGAUACUCCAGAGCCCAGGAAGCAUCCUAUAACCAGCGUGCAGCCUGAUGGUAUUCCAGGGCCGUUUUCAAACUGCAGCUCCUCCUCUGCCCCGUGCUUUUUGCUCUUGCCCCGCACACUUCCAGUCUAGGUACUUUGAGACAAUUUUGGGCAGGUGCAUCUCUGUUGGGGAAAGUGAUGUUUGGGAGCCCCAGAGAUGAAAGGAAACAAUGUUGAGGCUCUCUUGAGGAUAAAGGAUUAUGGAUAUAAGAAAUGGAAAACAUUUCGAGUCAAGAAUCAAAGCCACUUAGUACUUAAAUGGCACCAGAAGAUGGCAGUCUGUUCCAAACCCUGAGCAAGUGAAAUGGGAUAGCUGCACUCUUCUGCCCCUUCACAAUCAGGCCUUCCUGCUUAACCUCUGCUGGUAGUUUUUCCUUUCCUCUUGCCCUAUUCCUAAGCUCUUUGCUUUUUUCUCUCCCUGUCCGUCUCUCUCAUCACUUUCAUUUUUCUUUUAGCAUAUAGGGUAUUUACCUUCGUUUUCUCUUUUCAGCUUGCCUCCAUCUUCAUCCUUGGUGAUAUUUGCUAUUCCUUCUCCCUCCAGAAGGGGUGGAGAACCUACUUCCUUUUCUCCAAGACCAUGGUUGAUCCACCUUCCUCCCUCAGGCUCCUUCUUGACAGUCUUCUAGAAGGGAGAAGAGGGAAAAGAAGCAGUUCCUGAUGCCCAUGAACAGCUGCUCCCAGGUCGCAGUUCCAGCAGAGUGAAGAAAGAACCUCCUGGAAGCCACCAAGCAAUGCGCUUUUUAGUCAUCAAUGAAGAGCCCAAGGGAGAAUGAUGGAGAAGGGGCCUGGGUCAAGGCUCAGUGUAUACUCAUCUCUUGCUUGAUGUGUAUGCACUAUUGUCAUGUUGUGUUAACAAUCGUAAUAGCUCACAUGUACUUAUCCACUCAGAUCUGGUGUCUUGCAUGCAUUAUAAUCCUCAGAGCAAACCUGUCAGUUGAGAAAUAUUAUCCCUGUUUUAGAGAUGAGGAAACAGCUCAGAAAAGCUCAGUAAUUUGUUCGAAAGCAUAUCACCGGUAAAUGGCAUAGCUGUGAACUCAGGAUCUCCAGAGCUGCUGUAUAUAACCAUGUUACUGUAUUUUUUCCCUUUAAAAACGAAACUGAAAACUUUGCCAUAUAUAAUCUUUUAUUAGGAGAAGACCACAGUUUCUAACUGCUCUGCCUUCCCACCCUCCCAGUUUACCGAACUGGCUUAGAGCAGGCAAAGUGCUGAGGGUCCCAAGCUCCCAUGCAGAGCUUGCUGCUCUCCCCUGUACCAGUGUCCCAGCGCUGCAAAAUCAGCAAGGGACCACACUGCCUGCCUGCUAGAGAACUUGGGAACCCAUUUGAACUCCAGCUUUUCCAUACAUUGAGAUUCUCUCCUGGCCCUAACCAGCAUUCUGCACCUGUUGGUGUGACACCCCUUUCCACUCCCCUGACUGGUCUUGAACUGACCAAUCCCUAAAGUUUCCACUAAAAGGUAUCCCUGACUAGGAAAACUGCUGAAUGGUCUGUGCUUGGGCCCUCUCUGCGAGCUCAGGUAUUACUGAGUGGAUAAAUGUAAACUGGUUGGAGACCGGGAACUAAGGAUAAUCCAUUUUCCCCUGAGCUUUCUCUGUAAGAAGUACUAUGGCUUGCCCACCCCCCAUUCUCAGCUUUAUAGGACCAACGCCCGAAACUUCUAGUUCUCCCCAUAUAGAGCUGCCCCAGGCCUGAGGGGUAAGGUGAUCGUCUAAUCUGAUAUGGGAAACACUAGGAAUUUGGUGGAAUCUUUAGAGAUGUGUUAGGUGUUAGGCAUUGGGAUGGGUCUUUCCCCUGAAGGCUAAUGACUAUAUGAACAGGAGCAAUUUCGUGUAUACCUGGUCAGCUGUGGACUAGGCAGUGCUAGAAGAGAAAAUAUUACCUUGGUCAGGGGCUCGGGUCCUUGAAGCCACACAGCGGGACACUUUUGCCCAUUUCUCUCUAGACCUCAGAUGUCUUCCUACACUUACCUGACAGCCUUCCUCUCAUACUUUGAUUUCUCUUUAUGAAUGUAGCUCAUUUCUCUGCACAAUAAGCCCUAACUACUGAACUUUUCCAGUCUAACUCCCACAUUCCCUUGCUUCUAACACCUGUGUUUCUCUGGAGCUCCUCUGGAUCCUUGCAAUCUGCAGGCCACAGAAUCAGAGACCUGGAAAAGCUUGUCUUUAGAGAUCCCAUGCUCCAGUACAAAUGAGGACACAAGACUUCAGCAGGGUCAGAGAAUUUGUUAGUGCAGCUCGAGAUGGGGCUUAACCCCAGCCCUCCUGACCAUGUCCCACUCCCAAGCUACAAAACAGGCCUCUACAGUCAGACCCGUACUUUUUCAUGGCGAGCGAUAAUAUCACAAAUGUUUCAUUUUCUGCUGCUAGUUUCCAUUCCCUUCCCUGUCCAGGCAUAAAAAGAAACAAAAGGCACUUGUAGUUUUCUCUGUUUUCCCAGCCUUGGCACUUCUCUGGGUGAUAUUGCUAAGGAACAGUGAAGUUGCAGAAAGACUGAAUAAUCCACCCAUUGACUAGCUAACUUGGAGAGGAAUUGAAAGUUUGCUCUGUGAAUCCCCCCAAACCACUGUUCUCAUCAGGCUCUCCCAGAGCGUCCUCACCCUCUUCCCAGUGCAGCCCUGUUCACUGGGCCCCAAACCCACUAGUACUGUGCCUCACUUCAGCUUCCUCGUGCAAAUGCCCUUUCUGGAUAAAAGACCUCAUAUCUGAAAUAAAGUCGAAAUAUGAAAGUA